UUUUCUAACCAUAUUCAGAUCCUCUCCAGUCCCGAUAAGAAAGUAAUCGUGCUCUUUUUUUUAUUGAAAGCUUUAAAAUUUAUUGAUUGGGAAUCUUAUUUUGUUUAGAAGGAAUUUAAACCAUACAUAAACUACUUAUCGGUGCUAAAUAUUGAAAAUUUUGUGUUUAAUGCGUAUAUUUGUUUAUAAUAAUGCUGCAUUUUCAUAAAAUCACUGCAUUGAUGGAGUUUGUGCUUGGAAUUUAUUUAUAGAAAUGUUUAAUCUUUAUUUUUUAAAGCUGCGUUUGAUUUCAGAAAGAUGAAAAGGAGUGGAUGUAAUCAGUGCAAUUUUUUCUCUGCUUACUGAAGGAGUUCUUAAUCUAUGACUGAUUAUGUAUGGUUAAUUUGAAAUUUGUUGGGGAUUUUCCUCUCGUAAGGUAAAUGGGUUUUGUUCGAUCUUCAGGUGGUAGAUGCGAGUGCUCUUUCACUUAGAGUGAUUUAUCAUUCGAAAUUGGCACUGAAGUAUGGGUUUGUUCAAGAAAAAAAACAUGGAAUUCCUUAUUUCUUUACUUAAUAGCGAUAAUGAAAGUGUUACUGGACUCGGUGCAAGUAUCAUUACACAUUCUUGUGAGACAAGUGUGGAGCUACGGGCAUUAUGUGAUGCUGGGGUUCUAGAAAGUUAAUUAGCCUCCUUGAAGGUUCUAUAAGUCAGAAAAGUGCUAGUUUAGAGUCGCUGGCUGCAGUCUUUAAGAACAAUCCUGGGGUCAUCUCUAAAUUCACGGGACUUGAAAAUGAAAGAGCUGUUGAAGGCUCUUUAAAUCAGAGAUAUGCUAGUUUAGAAUCUUUGACCACAGUUCUCAAGAACAAUCCUGAAGUUGUCUCGAAUUUUGUGGGACCAGAAAGUGGGAGUGUUUUAAGCUCUAUAAUUGAAUUAACAAGGGAUAGAUAUCCCCAGACAAGGUCGGUUGCCUGCAUGUGCCUGAUUGUCAUAAGAAUGCUUCUCCUAAUUAUAUGCAAGUGACCAUUCCACUGAUGCCAUUUUGCAACUUUUAAUAUACUUCUAGUUACACAGGUCUUGAACCAAGUGAUUGAUGCGCACCUAUGUCUACAUCUUGCGGAUAGAAUGUCAUUCAGAACUUGUGUGCAGGUGACUUUAAGAAUGAAAUUCUUGUAUAGAGCUCACUGAUUCCUUGUUGGAAAGCCUUAUAUAUGACCCUGAGCCUUGUGUUCAAGAGCAAGCUUUGGGCCUUUUUCGGAAUCUUGUUGAUGGAUGUAUAAAGUCCAUUGAGUAUAUGUUUGCUGAAGAUGGUAUUCUAUUAGAUGCUGUUGGAAGGCAAUUACACAAUGCUUCACACGAACUUGGAAUACAGGGAAUGUAUCUUCUUGGCAACGUGGAAAUGAUUUUCACAAGGAAAUAGUUAUGCAGCAACUUCUUGUCCGAGCAGAUAAUUGAGCCCAAUCUUUCAUGAUCAAGAUCUUGCAGUGUAGUGAUAGCAGGUUACGUACAGCUGCUGUCUGGAUGAUAGUGAAUCUCACAUUCCCUUGUCCUAGUGCAUUUGGUCGGCUAGUACACCUUAGUUUGGAACACCCUUUUACUCGUUUUAACUGUUUUACUAAUGUUCCAGUACUAUAUUUUUUGCAGCUUUGUGUAACAACAGUGAUGACUCAGUCUAUGACUUUUGGUGAUGGCCUCACAUGAUCAUCCGUAUGUAUCCCUUGAAUCUAGCACAAAGAGGAGAGAUAAAUGCAGAACAAUCUUUGGUCUUGACCUUAUUUUGUAAGAUAUGUCCAGCAUUUCUCUGGAAGCUUGAAACAUUAUGCUGCAGUGAAGGUAUCACAUUACAUUGCUUUCAGUUUCCCAGUUAGAGAGCAGUGUGGUUCUCGAUUUGUGGGGGCAGAGAUCCCUUUCCGUGAUGCAUUAAUUUUUGUAUGUAAUCGAUGAUGCUUGUUGCAGCACAUGGUAUCAACUUGUAAAUGAAACCACGACAUCCAUACAUGCAUACAUAUUUUUUUGUAAAUUAAGGAUAUAUGCUUGUUCCUCGA
Long non-coding RNA from Populus euphratica (Euphrates poplar), 2021 nucleotides. RefSeq lists it as uncharacterized. The transcript is spliced from 4 exons. The record is from RefSeq and is a predicted model, not a curated record. Lineage: Eukaryota; Viridiplantae; Streptophyta; Magnoliopsida; Malpighiales; Salicaceae.